This 423-nucleotide ribosomal RNA is filed under the name uncultured bacterium. RNAcentral describes it as "bacterial SSU rRNA". It matches the Rfam family "Bacterial small subunit ribosomal RNA", at positions 355 to 775 of the family's 1533-position model. The record is from RNAcentral.
UGAGGAAUAUUGGUCAAUGGGCGCAAGCCUGAACCAGCCAUCCCGCGUGAAGGAAGAAGGCGCUAUGCGUUGUAAACUUCUUUUCCAGGGGAAUAAAAUUCUGUACGUGUACGGAAUUGAAGGUACCCUGGGAAUAAGCAUCGGCUAACUCCGUGCCAGCAGCCGCGGUAAUACGGAGGAUGCAAGCGUUAUCCGGAUUUAUUGGGUUUAAAGGGUGCGCAGGCGGAGUAGUAAGUCAGUGGUGAAAACCUGCAGCUUAACUGUAGAAUUGCCGUUGAUACUGCUGCUCUUGAGUAUGGUCAAGGUAGGCGGAAUGUGUAAUGUAGCGGUGAAAUGCAUAGAUAUUACACAGAACACCAAUUGCGAAGGCAGCUUGCUGGGCCAUCACUGACGCUCAGGCACGAAAGCGUGGGGAUCGAACAG